GGUGCCAAGGGAAAAAGCGUCGGUCGCAGCCCCCGGCGCUGUCAGUUGUCUGGGUGCAACCGCGAGGACCGCCAGUCCAGUAGUGCCAACUGCCAAACACACAAAAAAAAGACGCGUCCGAACGAGCCAGCAACAUGCCGGCCAGGAACAAGGAGCAGGAGUCCGAGGUGCUGCAGUGGAUCGAGAGCGUGCUGGGCGAGAAGCUGCCCCCGGGGGAGUACGAGGACGUCCUGAGGGACGGCGUGGUGCUGUGCAACCUCAUCAACAAGAUCGUGCCCGGAUCCGUCAAGAAGAUACAGACCAAGGGCACCAACUUCCAGCUCAUGGAGAACAUACAGAGAUUCCAGGCGGCGCUGAAGAAGUACGGUGUGCCCGAAGAGGAGAUAUUCCAGACAGCUGAUCUGUUCGAGAGGAGGAACAUACCUCAGGUCACCCUCUGCCUGUACGCCCUGGGCAGACUGGUGAGUAUUCAACACGACUGCCGAGUGCCCCGACCUCUCUUGUUGGGUCCUUGCAUUGCACAUACUUCGAUCAAACCAAAAAAACACGACCACCAGGCCAGUAUGGAAUAAGUGCUCGUGGUGAGUAGUGGUUUUUAAAAUGGCUCCAUAUCUAUCUAUUUUGAGCGGUUUGCAUGCUUUUCCAACUUCUUCUUGAAUUCUCAAAUUUUAGCUUCAGGUCUCAUGUUUUUUUGUAUAUUUGGGGCCAAGUACUGUAAGAUUCAUCUCUGCAGUCCAUGUUGGAAUAGCUUCCAUUUUGCACGUCCCAAAGACAACCAUAGGGUAUCCGAAACUCGGGCAGGUCCAAAACUGCUAUCUUCUCUUAUUCAGAUACUUGACAUUUCACCUGUAGAACAAUGUCACAGCGCGCAGGUGACAAAUGCCAGCACACUGGUGUUGUCAACAUACAAGUUGGGUGGGCAAUGCUACACAGUUUACGAUCUGACAAACAAAAAGUGUUGGGCGUGAGAAGUUGGAUGGUUUGCUAAACGUAAAAGUCCAAUCGAUGGGUCCGACCAUUUCCACGAGACAACUACUCUACACACGAGUCAACCAUCAGGUCUGACAGUUUCCACGAGACAACUACUCUACACACGAGUCAACCAUCAGGUCUGACAGUUUCCACGACACAACUACUCUACACACGAGUCAACCAUCAGGUCUGACAGUUUCCACGACACAACUACUCUACAUACGAGUCAACUAUCAGGUCUGAGAGUUUCCACGACACAACUACUGUACACACGAGUCAACCAUCAGGUCUGACAUUUUCCAUGACAAAACUACUCUACACACGAGUCAACCAUCAGGUCCGACAAUGUUUGUCCCAACUGUUGGUUGGGCUGUCGUGUCAGACCAUGUGUAGGGCCCGUUAUAAUUUUAUAAAGGUUAUUUCAAAAUUUAAGGAAACCCUGCCUAGUUUUUUUGGCAUAUUUCACAUCAAAGUUACUUUGCAGCGAGUCUAAUGACUUACCACAAUGGUCGUUUUAAAAUGUGAAAUCGCUCGAAUCAAACAUUGUUAUUUAAUGUUCACACAGAAAACUAAGACAAGCUUAUUCACACCAGACAAACAAUAAA
RNA transcript from Bacillus rossius redtenbacheri, 1577 nucleotides. It is a transcript of the gene named muscle-specific protein 20, with no coding region annotated. The record is from RefSeq and is a predicted model, not a curated record. The transcript has 4 exons. NCBI's taxonomy places the organism in Eukaryota, Metazoa, Arthropoda, Insecta, Phasmatodea, Bacillidae.